GAUGAAGAACGCAGCGAAAUGCGAUACGUAAUGUGAAUUGCAGAAUUCAGUGAAUCAUCGAGUCUUUGAACGCACAUUGCGCCCCCUGGUAUUCCGGGGGGCAUGCCUGUCCGAGCGUCAUUGCUGCCCUCAAGCACGGCUUGUGUGUUGGGCCUCCGUCCUCCUCCCGGGGGACGGGCCCGAAAGGCAGCGGCGGCACCGCGUCCGGUCCUCGAGCGUAUGGGGUUUCGUCACCCGCUCUUGUAGGCCCGGCCGGCGCUUGCCGACACAUCAAUCUUUUUUCCAGGUUGACCUCGGAUCAGGUAGGGAUACCCGCUGAACUUAAGCAUAUCAAUAAGCGGAGGA
Molecule: unclassified non-coding RNA, 345 nt
Filed under: soil metagenome
Description: partial contains 5.8S ribosomal RNA, internal transcribed spacer 2, and large subunit ribosomal RNA
Rfam family: 5.8S ribosomal RNA (bases 1-120)
Source: RNAcentral